CGGAUCCCAAAUUACCUAAACACAAACCAAAAGUUGAAAAAGAUAAAAACUGUACUAAAACUGAAGUCAGAAAAGGAACAAGAAAGUACAAGAGUGGAAUGUUAAGAGAAUAAAAAGAGAUCUGAAAUCUUACACCCACGAACGGAAAAUCAAAGUGUCGGUCAAGAAGAGAAGUGAGAAUAUGAUCCAAUCUUGGUUGUAAGAAGAGUAAAGGAAUAAGGAGAUUGAUCCAAGAAAGUU
This 240-nucleotide long non-coding RNA is filed under the name Nicotiana benthamiana. RNAcentral describes it as "long non-coding RNA (NBEN_LNC009704)". Lineage: Eukaryota; Viridiplantae; Streptophyta; Magnoliopsida; Solanales; Solanaceae. The record is from RNAcentral.